CAGCAGCCGCGGGAAAACGUAGGUGGCAAGCGUUGUCCGGAAUUAUUGGGCGUAAAGGGCUCGCAGGCGGUUUCUUAAGUCUGAUGUGAAAGCCCCCGGCUCAACCGGGGAGGGUCAUUGGAAACUGGGAACCUUGAGUGCAGAAGAGGAGAGUGGAAUUCCACGUGUAGCGGUGAAAUGCGUAGAGAUGUGGAGGAACACCAGUGGCGAAGGCGACUCUCUGGUCUGUGACUGACGCUGAGGAGCGAAAGCGUGGGGAGCGAACAGGAUUAGAUACCCCAGUAGUCCCUGUCUCUUAUAC
RNAcentral lists this ribosomal RNA (301 nucleotides) under uncultured bacterium. RNAcentral's name for it is "partial 16S ribosomal RNA". It matches the Rfam family "Bacterial small subunit ribosomal RNA", at positions 509 to 807 of the family's 1533-position model. The record is from RNAcentral.